UAACGGAACCCAUAAUGCAGCUGUUUGGUUGAUUGAUUGACAGCUGUCUGUGGAUUCCGUGCCC
Non-coding RNA from Danio rerio (zebrafish), 64 nucleotides. The record is from Rfam. NCBI's taxonomy places the organism in Eukaryota, Metazoa, Chordata, Actinopteri, Cypriniformes, Danionidae.